GGAAAAGCUAAGGCUGAAUGGCAGCACACCUGUUUACAGCAUGGCUUACUGGAUAGUUUAAGCCCAUUAUUGAGACCUAUUGCUCAGAUAAAAAGAUUUCUUUCAACAUAUUACUGCUCACUGAUAAUGUAUCUGGUCACCCAUGAACUCUGAUGGAGAUGUAAAAAAAAAAAAAAUGGAUGUUGUUUUCAUGUCUGCUAAUACAAUAUAUUCUGUAGUCCAUAGAUCAAGGAGUAAUUUUAAAGUA
Long non-coding RNA from Sapajus apella (tufted capuchin), 247 nucleotides. RefSeq lists it as uncharacterized. The transcript has 3 exons. The record is from RefSeq and is a predicted model, not a curated record. Lineage: Eukaryota; Metazoa; Chordata; Mammalia; Primates; Cebidae.